UACGUAGGUGGCAAGCGUUAUCCGGAUUUACUGGGUGUAAAGGGCGUGUAGGCGGGAAAGCAAGUCAGAUGUGAAAACCAUGGGCUCAACCUGUGGCCUGCAUUUGAAACUGUUUUUCUUGGGUACUGGAGAGGCAGACGGAAUUCCUAGUGUAGCGGUGAAAUGCGUAGAUAUUAGGAGGAACACCAGUGGCGAAGGCGGUCUGCUGGACAGCAACUGACGCUGAGGCGCGAAAGCGUGGGGAGCAAACAGG
RNAcentral lists this ribosomal RNA (253 nucleotides) under uncultured bacterium. RNAcentral's name for it is "partial 16S ribosomal RNA". It matches the Rfam family "Bacterial small subunit ribosomal RNA", at positions 524 to 776 of the family's 1533-position model. The record is from RNAcentral.